UGAGGAAUAUUGGUCAAUGGGCGGGAGCCUGAACCAGCCAAGUCGCGUGAAGGAAGAAGGAUCUAUGGUUCGUAAACUUCUUUUGCAGGGGAAUAAAGUGCAGGACGUGUCCUGUUUUGUAUGUACCCUGAGAAUAAGGAUCGGCUAACUCCGUGCCAGCAGCCGCGGUAAUACGGAGGAUCCGAGCGUUAUCCGGAUUUAUUGGGUUUAAAGGGUGCGUAGGUGGUUUGAUAAGUCAGCGGUGAAAGUUUGCAGCUUAACUGUAAAAAUGCCGUUGAAACUGUCGGACUGGAGUGUAAAUGAGGUAGGCGGAAUGCGUGGUGUAGCGGUGAAAUGCAUAGAUAUCACGCAGAACUCCGAUUGCGAAGGCAGCUUACUAAGCUACAACUGACACUGAAGCACGAAAGCGUGGGGAUCAAACA
This 422-nucleotide ribosomal RNA is filed under the name uncultured bacterium. Its description in RNAcentral is "bacterial SSU rRNA". It matches the Rfam family "Bacterial small subunit ribosomal RNA", at positions 355 to 774 of the family's 1533-position model. The record is from RNAcentral.